Molecule: transfer RNA, 76 nt
Filed under: Actinomyces sp.
Lineage: Bacteria; Bacillati; Actinomycetota; Actinomycetes; Actinomycetales; Actinomycetaceae
Description: tRNA-Gln
Rfam family: tRNA
About the family: Transfer RNA (tRNA) molecules are approximately 80 nucleotides in length. Their secondary structure includes four short double-helical elements and three loops (D, anti-codon, and T loops).
Source: RNAcentral
UGGCCGGUAGUUCAACUGGCAGAACGUCGGACUUUGGAUCCGGAUGUUGCAGGUUCGAGUCCUGCCCGGCCAGCCA